UACUCCUACGGGAGGCAGCAGUGGGGAAUCGUAGACAAUGGGCGCAAGCCUGAUCUAGCCAUGCCGCGUGAGCGAUGAAGGCCUUAGGGUUGUAAAGCUCUUUCAGUGGGGAAGAUAAUGACUGUACCCACAGAAGAAGCCCCGGCUAACUCCGUGCCAGCAGC
RNAcentral lists this ribosomal RNA (164 nucleotides) under uncultured bacterium. RNAcentral's name for it is "partial 16S ribosomal RNA". It matches the Rfam family "Bacterial small subunit ribosomal RNA", at positions 334 to 515 of the family's 1533-position model. The record is from RNAcentral.